Long non-coding RNA from Polypterus senegalus (gray bichir), 297 nucleotides. RefSeq lists it as uncharacterized. Lineage: Eukaryota; Metazoa; Chordata; Cladistia; Polypteriformes; Polypteridae. The record is from RefSeq and is a predicted model, not a curated record. The transcript is spliced from 3 exons.
UCAGGCGGUCGUGUGCUCGUCUUCUAUUAGCAACUCUCAAGCGUAGACAUUCGGAGACACACGCGCCUAACUUCUCUGUUCAGAAUCUCAGUCGACAUCACGCUGACUUUUACAUCUCUACAGCCAACUUUUCAGCCUAACACCUAAUUGAAGAUGAACAUGCCAUGGACAAUCUGUAUGACUGUGAUUGUGGCAACAAUUCAUCUGGUUCCAGCAGAACAGCUCUUUCCAGCAAAAGUCCUGAUUGACCAGGAAACGGUAGAUGAAGGGUCUAAGUUAACUUUGAGAUGUAUGGUG